UACGGGGGGGGCAAGCGUUGUUCGGAAUUACUGGGCGUAAAGGGCUCGUAGGUGGCCAACUAAGUCAGACGUGAAAUCCCUCGGCUUAACCGGGGAACUGCGUCUGAUACUGGAUGGCUUGAGUUUGGGAGAGGGAUGCGGAAUUCCAGGUGUAGCGGUGAAAUGCGUAGAUAUCUGGAGGAACACCGGUGGCGAAGGCGGCAUUCUGGACUGUAACUGACACUGAGGAACGAAAGCCAGGGGAGCAAACGGG
This 253-nucleotide ribosomal RNA is filed under the name uncultured bacterium. RNAcentral describes it as "partial 16S ribosomal RNA". It matches the Rfam family "Bacterial small subunit ribosomal RNA", at positions 524 to 776 of the family's 1533-position model. The record is from RNAcentral.